AUCAUUGCCUUGAUACAGUAGCCUUAGAUUUUCCAGGGCACUACUAAAGCUUUGAGUCUAAUGGGAAGGAUUGAGGUAUUAAAUGAAGUCGCUGUCACUUCGUGAGCCACUUAAUAGAUAGCGACAGAUUAGAUAGUACUUAUCAAUGCUUUCUUUAAUAUGAGUUAGAUAAUAUACCUAAUCCGCAUAUUAUUAGAUUAUUUAAGACCGUCGUUGUCUAGAUCUAAAGCGAUGACGAGAGGUAAAAGUGGUUUUUAUUUUGAAACAUUAGCCCUCGAAAUCCGUGGCUCAAAACCCCGUGGUCCUAAUAGAGGCUUCAAAGGUUGUUAAAAUGAUGAUGGCUAGGGACUGCCUACAGGCAAGAGUACUCUCUGUGGCCUGUACACGCAUGCCUAUGCUGACGCUUUGGUAGUUCUCUGCCUGGGAAAAGACACCACCACACAGCAAAGCUCCAUAAUACGGACUAUGCCUAUAGUGAACCGAUAAUGCAUCUUGAAAAGGCUAAGGGCCAAAAAAGCAGAACUUUUACUUUUCACGAGGAGACAUAUGUUUGACACACUACUCAUUCUAUCCCUGGAAUCUUAGAUAAAAUACUCCAGGACAGUACAAUUUUAAGUUAUCACACUGGAUUCUAAACUCUCCUGGUACGAUCAUGUGGAUAUCAGAAUGAAGAAGGGCAUCUGUGUGCUUUGAGUUUAUACAAGGGCUAUUUAAAGCAUCUGGAGUCUGUCCCCUAAGAUUCUUCACCAGAUCUCAUUAUCUAUUGUUAAGUGUUUUCUUACAUAAUGAACUAUCUUUAAGUGGUUCUACAUGGAGAAAGGAAUAAAAUUUGGAUAUGUGGCACCUGCGGCAGUCGACUAUAAGGGCUUCGUAACCCAACAGGGUCUAGCAACUAACUAAAUAAAGCUUCAGAAAGAAUUACUGAGCCGGUAAAGGUUUCUGCGUUGGAGUCCUAUAUAGCAGCAGGGCCUCUUCGCUGGGAAAUCACGCUACAAUCUUCCAAGCUAAAGGAUUCGCUUUGGUAAAAUGCCUGCGGAUAGCAGAGCUGCCGAUAAGGCUAUUACGGCGAAAAAGUUUAGCUCCAUGCUUAUACUGAAGCGUGUAUAAGGGUUCUAGAGGAACUAAUGAAGGAGGGCUGCAGAGUUCAGUUAUUCUUGAUAAUGAGGAAGCAAACAUGCUUUCUAAAAAAAGGAAUCCGCGAUGCUGCCAGUAGGCACCGAACUUAAAAUCAUCUUCAUCACCAAAUCAGCAUCACUAAAGGCUACGUUAUUGGAGAUUGUCCAGUAUUUAGAAGAAUCUUGGUACUAAUUAACCUACUGUUUAAAGAUCUAGUUAAUAGUUACACUUUGUCCUGCAAUUAAAAUCUUUCAGACCUGACGCCUGAUUGGCUUUUCCGAGGCGAUUGGCCUCUGGUAAUCUUCGAUGAGGCAUGACGGGUUUAUCAGGAGAUCUAUUGGUACAACAGCCACCUUGGCUACACACUGCUAACAUUCCUAUUACUCCCUUUAAUAUAAUUAUAUAUUUCUGGAAACGAUUUUUUAAGCUUCUUGCUUUCAAUAUAAAAUAUUAAAAUUUAUUAUUAAUUAAUUAUAUACUUUUUUACACAAUAAAACAUAUUCCUUUACAUAUUAUGAAUAUUCAAUAUUUAAUAACAAGAUCAUUUUUAAUAUCCGCUGGCGCGUUUACUACUUUAUUCAUAAUAAUAUAUUGUUUUAAAUAUGAAGGAAAUUUUGGUAUAAAUAUUGAUAUAGCUGUUUAUAAAGUAGCAGUUGAUCCAACAAGAUCAAGUUAAGCAAACCUUAACAGCAUUCAAUAUGAAAUCUUUUGGGAUAUUUGUGGUUCUUUUUGCCUUCAUCGCUCUAAGUUUAGCUGGUGGACAUGAUCAUGAUGAUUACUAUAAAAGUUCUCAUGACGACUCAAAUAAGGUGGUCUACGUAGAAAAAGAAUCCAGAUACAAUAGGCCCAGUUACAAAGUUGAGGAGGGAGAUUCAGAAUAUAAGAACGUAGUUUAUAAAUAUGAAGAACCAGAUGAGAAGAAGGUUCGUGUUGAUGUUAAAGUGGUUAAACAACAAGGAAAAGAUGAAAAUGUCUUGUACAAAUACCUUGAGAACUACCAUCACUAACAAUUUUGUCAAAUGUUAUUGUAAUCCUAUUAAAUAUAUUUUUUCAAAGGUUUUUUUUGUCAUAUAUUUAAUUAACGAUAGUGUUACAAGUUAUUUUGUUUACAUUUAAAAUCUCAAUAAAUAUAUAAUAUUAUCUGAA
Molecule: long non-coding RNA, 2262 nt
Filed under: Anthonomus grandis grandis
Lineage: Eukaryota; Metazoa; Arthropoda; Insecta; Coleoptera; Curculionidae
Description: uncharacterized LOC126743780
Source: RNAcentral